AUGGCUGUCGUCAGCUCGUGUCGUGAGAUGUUGGGUUAAGUCCCGCAACGAGCGCAACCCCCGUUCCAUGUUGCCAGCAUUAAGUUGGGGACUCAUGGGAGACUGCCGGUGACAAACCGGAGGAAGGUGGGGAUGACGUCAAGUCAUCAUGCCCCUUAUGUCCAGGGCUACACACGUGCUACAUUGGCGCAUACAAAGGGCAGCAAUACCGCGAGGUGGAGCAAAUCCCAUAAAGUGCGUCUCGGUUCGGAUUGGAGGCUGAAACUCGCCUCCAUGAAGGUGGAGUUGCUAGUAAUCGCAGAUCAGCAAUGCUGCGGUGAAUACGUUCCCGGGCCUUGUACACACCGCCCGUCACACCACGAAAGCGAGUAACACCCGAAGCCGGUGGCCUAACCGCAGGGAGGGAGCCGUCGAAGGUGGGGCUCGUGACUGGGGUGAAGUCGUAACAAGGUAGCCGUAGCGGAAGCUGCGGCUGGAUCACCUCCUUUCUAGGGAGCACGAAGCUGUGCCCCGGUCGUGGAGCCAUCGCGAGAUGGCUCAUGCGGUCGCCAGGUCCUUGAGACCGGGCGAUGCCAAGCAAGACCGGGCCUAGCAUGUCGACCGAACCUGGCUGGACGGCCGCCGUCCGAGUGUGUCCCUUACUACUUAGGGAUCACAUCGGGCCCGGCCACAAAACGACCCCAGCAUGCUGUUGAGUUUUGAGAGACCGGCGUCCGCCGGUGCCCGCGUGGACACGCCAAUGAGGCGUGACCGACAUACACGGAUACCGGCCGGCGUUUACGCCUCUUCACGGUCCUUGAAAACUGCACAGAAGCCACAUCAGCCGCCAUCGAUAAGCGGCGGCUGAAUAACGGGUAUCACCGGGCCCUCUAUGGCCGAAAUAGUUCGCAAAGCUAUUUUGAACCAUGUUGGGCCAGAUCACCGUCAAGAUAGUAAGGGCACACGGUGGAUGCCUUGGCACCAAGAGUCGAAGAAGGGCGUGAACGGCUGCGAUAAGCCACGGUUAGGCGCUUAAUAGCCUAUGACCCGUGGAUUCCCGAAUGGGGAAACCCGG
RNAcentral lists this small RNA (1054 nucleotides) under uncultured Solirubrobacterales bacterium. RNAcentral describes it as "bacterial SSU rRNA". The stretch from base 1 to 488 matches the Rfam family "Bacterial small subunit ribosomal RNA", at positions 1045 to 1533 of the family's 1533-position model. The record is from RNAcentral. Lineage: Bacteria; Bacillati; Actinomycetota; Thermoleophilia; Solirubrobacterales.